AAGGCGACGAUGCGUAGCCGACCUGAGAGGGUGAACGGCCACACUGGGACUGAGACACGGCCCAGACUCCUACGGGAGGCAGCAGUAGGGAAUCUUCCGCAAUGGACGCAAGUCUGACGGAGCAACGCCGCGUGAGUGAUGAAGGUUUUCGGAUCGUAAAGCUCUGUUGCCCUAGACGAACAGCAAGGCGAGUAACUGCGCUUUGUGUGACGGUAUAGGAGAAGAAAGCCCCGGCUAACUACGUGCCAGCAGCCGCGGUAAUACGUAGGGGGCAAGCGUUGUCCGGAAUUAUUGGGCGUAAAGCGCGCGCAGGCGGUUAAUUAAGUUGGGUGUUUAAGCCCGGGGCUCAACCCCGGUUCGCAUCCAAAACUGGUUGACUUGAGUGUAGGAGAGGAAAGUGGAAUUCCACGUGUAGCGGUGAAAUGCGUAGAGAUGUGGAGGAACACCAGUGGCGAAGGCGACUUUCUGGCCUAUAACUGACGCU
RNAcentral lists this ribosomal RNA (484 nucleotides) under Paenibacillus sp. RNAcentral's name for it is "bacterial SSU rRNA". It matches the Rfam family "Bacterial small subunit ribosomal RNA", at positions 270 to 747 of the family's 1533-position model. Lineage: Bacteria; Bacillati; Bacillota; Bacilli; Caryophanales; Paenibacillaceae. The record is from RNAcentral.